GACUACGCCGGGGAGCAGCCGGGCUCCAGCGGAGAGGCAGUGAGAAGUGUUCGAUCACCCCAAUCGCAGCCGCUCCCGUCAGCGCUGCCGCUGAGCUCCCGUCCGCUGGAGUCAGCCUCCUCUCCCUCGUAUCUCCAGGAGUAUCGGGGCGGCCUCGCAGGGCUGUGAUUGGCAGAAGCGGCCGGUUCCUCCCGCUUGAUCAGCCCCGCAGACUUUCAAGGGCUCGGAGCUGCUCUGAUGUCAUUCCAGCCGAAGGGGGGGAUGCUUCGCGGGAGGACGCGGCGGUGGAGGCUAAUUCGGAGAUGAGCUGCGUCCCUCUGCCACCGCCGCGACUGAUUAGAUGCUUCGCCGGGAUUUGCAUAAUCUGUCAUUGUGCGGCUGGACCACCUCCCCUCCUGCCCGCCCAAAAUGCGGGAGGGAAGUGCCACUUCCAGCUUCUGAUUUUACACCUGGAGCCUGCGAGAGAAAGCCUGGGAGAAGGGAAAAGUUGAGAGAGUCGUUUUCCUGACAGGAGGAAGCUUGAGCCCCCCUUUGCCCCUCACCAUCCCCAGAUGCUGAAGGAGGCUCAACAAAAUCACAGUGCUGGAAGACUUUUUGGUUCCUACUCUCCUUAGGUCAUUGAUAAGAUCACCUAGUACAACAAAAGGGAUUGCCUAAAAUGCUGAGCUACAAAGUUAUCCCAAGUGGCAUAUUUUCAAAAGAAACCACCUAAAUUAAUUGCAGUGGAUGACUACUGCCAACAACUAUAAAGCGCACCAAAGGCAGUUCCUGCCCCGAGGUGGCCGAGGUGCAGAAGGAGAAGAUGAGGUGGAAGAUCUCAGGGCCAGGUAUGUUCAAUCUGAGCUGCUGGGGGGACUCUGCUGUACAGACACCGUGGGGAGCUUUGAGGGC
Myiozetetes cayanensis is the source of this 891-nucleotide long non-coding RNA. RefSeq lists it as uncharacterized. The transcript has 3 exons. Lineage: Eukaryota; Metazoa; Chordata; Aves; Passeriformes; Tyrannidae. The record is from RefSeq and is a predicted model, not a curated record.